GGGUUUGAUCCUGGCUCAGAUGAACGCUGGCGGCGUGCCUUAUACAUGCAAGUCGAGCGAACGGACGAGAAGCUUGCUUCUCUGAUGUUAGCGGCGGACGGGUGAGUAACACGUGGAUAACCUACCUAUAAGACUGGGAUAACUUCGGGAAACCGGAGCUAAUACCGGAUAAUAUUUUGAACCGCAUGGUUCAAAAGUGAAAGACGGUCUUGCUGUCACUUAUAGAUGGAUCCGCGCUGCAUUAGCUAGUUGGUAAGGUAACGGCUUACCAAGGCAACGAUGCAUAGCCGACCUGAGAGGGUGAUCGGCCACACUGGAACUGAGACACGGUCCAGACUCCUACGGGAGGCAGCAGUAGGGAAUCUUCCGCAAUGGGCGAAAGCCUGACGGAGCAACGCCGCGUGAGUGAUGAAGGUCUUCGGAUCGUAAAACUCUGUUAUUAGGGAAGAACAUAUGUGUAAGUAACUGUGCACAUCUUGACGGUACCUAAUCAGAAAGCCACGGCUAACUACGUGCCAGCAGCCGCGGUAAUACGUAGGUGGCAAGCGUUAUCCGGAAUUAUUGGGCGUAAAGCGCGCGUAGGCGGUUUUUUAAGUCUGAUGUGAAAGCCCACGGCUCAACCGUGGAGGGUCAUUGGAAACUGGAAAACUUGAGUGCAGAAGAGGAAAGUGGAAUUCCAUGUGUAGCGGUGAAAUGCGCAGAGAUAUGGAGGAACACCAGUGGCGAAGGCGACUUUCUGGUCUGUAACUGACGCUGAUGUGCGAAAGCGUGGGGAUCAAACAGGAUUAGAUACCCUGGUAGUCCACGCCGUAAACGAUGAGUGCUAAGUGUUAGGGGGUUUCCGCCCCUUAGUGCUGCAGCUAACGCAUUAAGCACUCCGCCUGGGGAGUACGACCGCAAGGUUGAAACUUAAAGGAAUUGACGGC
RNAcentral lists this ribosomal RNA (926 nucleotides) under uncultured bacterium. RNAcentral's name for it is "bacterial SSU rRNA". It matches the Rfam family "Bacterial small subunit ribosomal RNA", at positions 9 to 917 of the family's 1533-position model. The record is from RNAcentral.